RNAcentral lists this small nucleolar RNA (105 nucleotides) under Dothideomycetidae sp. 11243. Its description in RNAcentral is "fungal sp. No.11243 Small nucleolar RNA Z13/snr52". It matches the Rfam family "Small nucleolar RNA Z13/snr52". From Rfam's summary of the family: Z13 or snr52 is a member of the C/D class of snoRNA which contain the C (UGAUGA) and D (CUGA) box motifs. The record is from Rfam by way of RNAcentral. Lineage: Eukaryota; Fungi; Ascomycota; Dothideomycetes.
CUGGAUCGAAUGAUGAAGCAUUUCGGAUGUUAAGACUUAUUGUCAUUGUCCGAGAGCGCAAAACCCUGUGGACAUUUCCGUUGCCUUCCUUCUGACAUCGAUCCU